Molecule: long non-coding RNA, 1111 nt
Organism: Carassius auratus (goldfish)
Lineage: Eukaryota; Metazoa; Chordata; Actinopteri; Cypriniformes; Cyprinidae
Exons: 3
Source: RefSeq, a predicted model, not a curated record
UCAUCGAGAAUAGCAGCUUAUUAAAACGGAGUUAGUAAAUUGACGUUGGCCUAACACAGUUGCGAAAUAGCAUAGUUUUUUUUAUAUAUAUUUUAUUUUAUUUAAACUGUCGUUUUUUGUCAUUUUUGACAUCUGGGUCGACUGGGUGCUUUACGAACUAGAUUAGGAACUAGCAGUGAGUGCAGUCGCAAGUCCAAGACCUGGAGACUUUAACGGUUUCUUGUCAGCAUUGGGGCUAAAAACUGAGGUAAACCAAACGUUUUAUUUAAAAAAAAAGACUUUGUGGGUUUAUUGAAUUACCGAUUAAAAGCAUUUUUUUAUCGAGCACAGUUAAGCUUAACGUUACAUUAAGACGAAGUUAGUUAGUAAAUAACGUUGCCCUCUAACUUAGUUGAGUAAUAGCAUCGUGGUUUUUUUUUCCAUUUAAACGGUGUUUUUAUAUUUUUCCUCAUUUUUGACAUUUGGGUCGACAGUGUGCUUUAAGAAUUUGAUUAGGAACUAGCAGCGCAGUGCAGAGGCCAGAGCUCACGGUUCUGGAUUCCCUUAACGGUUUCUUUUCAGCAUUGGGGCUAAAAACUGAGGUAAAGUUAACGUUAAAAAAAAGAAAAGAAAAGACGAGUGUAUUGAAUUAGGAUUAAAAACCAGAUGUUUUUUUUUUUCGAGCAAAGUAAAUCUUUCAUUUAAGGCGAAUUAAGCCUAGUCUAUGAAAUGUUAUUUUUAAGCUGCAUUUUAAACAUGUAGUAAUAAUAGGUCUUUUUGUGUUUUAAAAACAGCUACAAUAAAGGCAUCCAUCGAGAAAGACAUGAGCCUUCCAGCCACACCAAGACUCAUAAUGCUUGGUCACAAUUUUUCUCUUCCACAAAGUGGAUGGUAAGCAUUGAGGGAAAGGUGGCCUAUGUUUUGGAUGAGCACCUGGGAUGAGCAGAUGCCUUUCUGUAUUCUUCAUCUUCUACGUUUUCAACAUUGAAUACAAGGGGAGACUGCCUGUGCAACACUGGAACUCAUAAAACAGUUUUUCUUGAGGAUAAACCCAGAGGAGGGAACAAAAUGCACCGCCAAAACCGGAGUGAGUCGGAAGACAGGGGAAGUUGUGAAGAGAAAGACAACAGUA